CGCUUCCUGUUUCCGGUUUCCGGAGAGGAGCACCGCGAGGCGCAAGGCGGAACGCUGGCCGCUGACGCGAGCUCUGGGACCGGGUCCUGCAGCUGGCUGGCCCAGUCUCCCAGCCCCAGACAGACAUCCCUCGGGGGACCCUGAGCUUUGGCUCCUCCAUUUGCCGGCGCCACGCCAAGCCACGUUCAUUUCACUAGUGCCAUGUUCCCAGCACUGGGCCAGGCACACAGAGGCUUUCCAUGGACAUUUGUUGAAUGAAGGAUCUUUAAUAUCACAUAUAAGGAACAGCCAGCUUCAUUGUACUCUGUAGCCUAAACCACCGAAACCAACUCAUGUCUGCUACAUACAGGCUGAGAGACCAUGUGAUUACCCACGCUGUGCCUUGCACAGAGACAGGACACAGGAAUGUUUGUUGCACUG
This is a non-coding RNA of Microcebus murinus (gray mouse lemur), 420 nucleotides long. The record is from RefSeq and is a predicted model, not a curated record. NCBI's taxonomy places the organism in Eukaryota, Metazoa, Chordata, Mammalia, Primates, Cheirogaleidae.